Molecule: long non-coding RNA, 1236 nt
Organism: Canis lupus familiaris (dog)
Lineage: Eukaryota; Metazoa; Chordata; Mammalia; Carnivora; Canidae
Exons: 2
Source: RefSeq, a predicted model, not a curated record
AGGGACAUUUCCUAGACAGCACAGACAAGGCACUAAGUGCAGACUUUGUUUCUUUAGGUCAGGCCUGCAUGGUAUGACUGAGAGUACCUGGAGUUUCACUUUCACCUAUGGCGGAACUAUAUUUUUAGAUCCAUAUAAAAACAGGCAUUAUCCGAAGAGGGGCAAAUUACUAAUUAUCAUUUGCUACUGAUAAAAAGCUUAAAAUGUAUUUGAAUUUAUCUUAAUAUUAAUCAUCAGCCUGAGGAAUUUGACAAAGGAAUUCACUUUAGAUUGGAAUUAGUUUUCUUUUUGUUUUCCAGUUGCCAGUUAUUGGAAAGUGUUAAAGGAAGAUAAAAAAAUUGGUUCCAAACAAGGGAGAGGAAAGAGCUGCAGUGCUACCCAGGGCAGUAUAAGAGUCCUGGCUGCCCAGAGGAGGGAGAAGUGUAGGUGAGCAGGGAAAAGAGACUUCACUGUAUAGACAGAGAUCACAGAUAGAGAGCUGGGACAACUCCAUUUUCCCCACAGCUGGCCUGGCUUACAUUUUUCCUCAGGACCACUACAGGACAGGUUUACACAUGAGAAUGAUUAAGAGAACCUCAUGAACAGAAUCUUGAAUAAUAAGAGAUAUGCUGGUAAUUGAGACAAUCCUUUACCUGAUACCUCUUUUAACUAUAAAAAUAUUAUUACCCCUAUUUCAUUUCAUAUGAUUUCAACAAAAUGUGCACAAGCCCUAGAAACCUAUAUUUCCUCCAUUCCCUCUUCCUAAAAGAUUUUGUUUAACUUUUCCCCAUUACCUUUGAAUUUUUCUCUCCUGGAGCCAGUAACUGCCAAUUUUAUCUCUGUAUGAUUUGCCAGUAGCAAUGAAAGUUAGAAAACAAAGGUUUAUUAUUUAGAAGAGGAGAAUAUAUGCUAUUUUUUAUUGCUGUUUUUUUCCAAAAUGUAAUUCUUUUAUUGAGCUCCAAGACUGUUGUAAAGUUUCAAGGUGACAUUGGGCCCAAGAUUAGCCUCCUAGGGCAGCCCCGGUGGCGCAGUGGUUUAGCACCGCCUGCAGCCCGGGGCGUGAUCUGGAGAACCUGGAUCGAGUCCCACGUCAGGCUCCCUGUAUGGAGCCUGCUUCUCCCUCUGCCUGUGUCUCUGCCUCUCUCUCUCUCUGCAUCUCUAUGAAUAAAUAAAUAAAAUCUUUAAAAAAAAAAAAAAAAGAUUAGCCUCCUAACAACCCCAAUGAUACGAGAGAAACAGGCCUCAAGUCUUUGGUUG